Molecule: unclassified non-coding RNA, 220 nt
Filed under: plant metagenome
Description: partial contains small subunit ribosomal RNA, internal transcribed spacer 1, and 5.8S ribosomal RNA
Rfam family: 5.8S ribosomal RNA (bases 151-220)
Source: RNAcentral
GUAGGUGAACCUGCGGAAGGAUCAUUACAAAUCGAGGGUUUGUUGGUAUGAAAAUAUCAGUGACCCACAAUUGCUCGGUGCAAGCAGCAAUGCCAUGCAUCGUUUCGCGCUUGUAUGUUUGUCAUAGUAAUGUUGCCAUAUUAAAGAGACAACUUUUAACAAUGGAUCUCUUGGCUCUUGCAUCGAUGAAGAACGCAGCAUCUGACUGACUCGACAGCUG